This is a long non-coding RNA of Mus musculus (house mouse), 6467 nucleotides long. RefSeq annotates it as predicted gene, 32187. Lineage: Eukaryota; Metazoa; Chordata; Mammalia; Rodentia; Muridae. The record is from RefSeq and is a predicted model, not a curated record. The transcript is spliced from 6 exons.
CUCAGAAAUCUGCCUGCCUCUGCCUCCCAAGUGCUGGGAUCAAAGGUGUGCGCCACCAUGCCUGGCUAGCCUCUGUUUUCUUAGGAGAUGUCUAAGUGCCCCAACCACUCUUUGUUAGCUGUGAUAUAUGCUUUGUUUAUCCUCUGUUCUCUGUUAUGUCCCUGUCUGUCCAGUGCAGAGUAUGUGGCUUUCCUGUGGUCUGUCUAUUCUUACACAUUUAUUCUUUACUAUGCUUCUAUUUGAAGAACUUGUUAUUUUUGUUUUAUUUUUCUCUUCUUCUUGGAUGUCUUUGUGCUCUCUUAGGUGAAAUGAGUUUUGGUGCACACUCUCUGUUUUCUGUUAGAGACAUUUUUGUGUUGCACAGCUUCUGUUCUCUGUUAGGUGACAUAUGUGUGUGGUGCAUAUCCUCUGUUCUCUGUUAGGUGACAUAUGUGUGGUUUACAGACUCUGUUCUCUCUUUGAUGACAAUUGUGUGCCACAAAACCUCCCUGCUAUCUGUUAGGUGACAUGUAUGUGGCACACAGUGACAUGUGUGUGGUACACAGACUCUGUUUUGUUAGCUGACAUGUGUGUAGUGAACAGUCUCCCUGUUCUAUAUUAGGUGACAUGUAUGUGGCACACAGUGACAUGUGUGUGGCACACAGUCUCUGUUUUGUUAGCUGACAUAUGUGUAGUGAACAGUCUCCCUGUUCUAUAUUAGGUGACAUAUAUGUGGCUCGCAGCCUCCAUGUGCUCUGUUAUGUGACAUGAGUUUGGUGAACAUCCUCUGUUCUCUGUUAGUGACAUUUUUGUGGUUCAUAGCCUCUGUUCUGUUAGAUGACAUGUGUGUGCUACACAGGCUCUGCUCUCUGUUAGUGACAUAUGUGUGAUACACAGCCUCUGUUGUCUGCUAGGUGAAAUGUAUGUUUUCUGUUAGGUGGCAUGUGUGUGUUACACAGCCUCUGUUUUCUUUUAUCUGACAUUUGUGUGGUACAUAGCUUCUGUUCUCUGUUAGGAGACAUAUGUGUGGCACACAACCUCUGUGUUCUUUUAGUUGACAUAUGUGUGUUUCACAGCCACUUUGCUCACUGUUAGGUGACAUGUGUGUGGCAUACACCCUCCCUGUUCUCUGUUAUGUGACAUGUAUUUGGUACACAGCCUCUCUUUUCUGUUUUAUGUGACAUAAGUGUGACACACGGCCAAUGUUCUCUGUUAGUGACAUAAGUGUGGUACACAACUUCCCUGUUUUCUGUUAGUUAACAUUUGUAUGAUGUCCAGCCUUCCUGUUCUGUGUUAGGAGAUAUACGUGUAGUACACAGCCUCUGUUCUCUGGUAGGUGACAUAUGUGUGGUGAACAGCUUCUCCUUCUUCCAUUCCCCUGCAGAUGUCCCAUUAUCCUGCAGAUGAUUUGUCCUCCUGCAGAUGACCGGUCCUCUUAUUUACCUUGUGAGUCAGAAAUUCAUAAAAUUUCUAAGCUCAUCAUCCAAGACUGUGAUGUAUCAGCAUUGCCUCCCAUACCUUCAAGUCAAUAAGGCUCAUCUGGAGAAAAAGUGAUCCCACAACCAAGCCUCAUGGGGUCUUGGGGAAUUUCCAUUUGAACCUGGCUGUCUGAAGCUACACUCCCCAAGGAAUUGUGGAAGAAAGAAAAUCCAAAACUGAUGUCUAGGCAGCUAUAUGAAUGGAAACAACACUUCUCCACCAGAAAAAAAAUGCCAGUGCCAUCCUAGAUGAACUCCUUGUCAAACCAGAAGAUCAUAACUACCAUCAACAUCAUCUUGUAAAUGAUGACCACAGUGAAGAAACCCAACAACAGAACAAUAUCCUUCAAUAUUCCUACUCUGGUUGCUGCUAGUGUACACAGCGCUGUACCAUAGUCUAGGCUGCUCUCCAGGUUCAGGCUGAAAGAUUACCUGAGCCUGGAAAGUCACAGCCAAUCAAGGCAUGGUGCUGGUACAAACACAUCUAAAAUAAGACAAAAACUUUGUGAGUAUAGCACAAUAGUUCAAUGUAGGAGUGUAUAAUUAGCAAUUUCAAGGGAUUAAGUUCUAUGCCAAGCAACACCCCUUUCCACUUUUGUACUUCUAUACUUCUAGCAUGGCUGCACCCCUAAAGUUUCCAAACAGAACCAGCAAAUGGAAAAUAAGUAUUCAAAUACAAAAGAGCCUGUUGGGGUGUUUCUUAUUCAAACUUCCACAAGAUCCUAUAGGACUUUUUCUGUGAGUGCAGAAUACCUACAGAGAAAAUAAUUUUGAAGUAGGAAACAAAAUGUUGAACCCAUUUUCAGCUGAGGAAAUUAUUUUAUCCCUUACAUGUUUAGUUAUCCUGUCUGCAUCUCCCAGUUGAUCCAGCCUACAUCUUCUACCACUAAGUUGCUCUCGGUGAGCUACUCUUUUCUCCUUAUAUCCCCAAGUUUUGAGUACUCCAAUCGGUCUUUAAUGGUGGCUCUUCCCCAAGGUUUUCUCAGGUUACUGGGUAGCAUACCAUCAGUGCCAUCUGAGAGUCAUCUUUAGUCAAGACUGAGGAGAUCACAUAGGAGAUGGAUCUGUGGCCUUACCCUCAGGUAGGAGAGAGCUAAAUGUCCUACACUGUUUGACAGAGUGGCCCUUGUUCUGGGUUUACCUGCUGUUGCAAUUUUAACCUAUUUCUGGGAUAAAAUACUCUGAUCAAAACAACUUAGGGGAGAAAGGGUUUUUUUUUUUUUCAAUCUUACAAUUUCCAUCCCUGUAUAGAAGUUGAGGCAGAACCUCAAAUAGCUAACUCCAUCACAUCCCAAGACCAAGGUCUAGAGUAGAGAACUGAUCAUCUUCAUGUUCAUUUGCUUGCCUGCACCCAGCUUGACUUCUUCACUCUACACAGUUCAGGACCUCUUGCCUUGGGCAUGGAGCUGUCCACACUGGGCUGAGUCUCCCCACAUCAAAUAACUUACUCUUCCGGAUGCUUCCAAGAUGAUUCUAUGUUCUGUAAAUUAAAGGUAACUAUUACAUCAGUCAAGCUGACUCUGAAAACACACCUAGAGAGCAUUCUGGGAAAUAGCCUAGGAACCAAUUUCACUCUCUUGGUGUCCUUUCCCCCUUUACUCUCAACUGUAAUAACUUAGGGAGCAGCAGGUUUCCCAUUCUGAGCUCCUUGCCUCCCACUCAUCCUCAAUCAGCCUACAAUACUGCUAUCUUCAAAGUGCUAUUCCUCCUUGUGAUGGUAAGCACCCUUGAUUGGUGUUGUAAACUAUGAAACUACACUGAUCAAACAGCAGAUGAGAAAAGGAGGCACAUACCAGCUUCCUGCAUGCAACCUUUCUCAGCUCAUCAAGGCUGGAGUUUCUGAAGGGCUCCAGAAACCCAGAUAUUUCCUUUGAUUGUUGCUGCUAAGAUGAAAGCUAGCACACAGCAAAUUUUGGAUUCAACGCCCACAGUCCCUUCUUCCUUCACUGCAAGGUAAUCAACUGUUUUAAAUAGUCUGAAAGCACUAUUGCCUUGGCUCUUAUGAUAGAUUGCUUCUGUUUAUUGCUCUCUAUUUUUACCUCCAGACCCACAGUUCUUGGAACGAUUGAUAAGGAACGCGUAAGCCAACUGUGGCAAUUCUAAAGAAAAUGAUGGCUCUCUCUGUUUGUCUUGUUAGGAGUUUAAGGCUCAGAAUUGGUUAAGAAGAAUAUGUUAUUCAUCUCUGGGUGGGACCUUUGUCAUCUCAAUCAGAAAAAGGUUUUUUCCACUGUUCUGACCUGCAUGAUUUCUGUAUUUUGAGAAUCCUGUAAGAUUUUGUUCUGUAUGCUAUGGCCACACUCUGAUCUGCAUUUACUCCUAGACCUAAUCAUAUGAAUCCUCACUUUAGUAACUUUUGGGAGACUAAUCUAUGCCCCAGGCCAUGCACACCAGUACUCAGAGAGGAGUGAUUAAAGAGAUAGAUGGACUAGGCCGCUCUGGAUAGUCUCAAUGCCACCCUGGCAAGUAAGCCCAGUGAUUCAGAUGUUCAGGCUGCUUUGAGAUCCACAGAUGUGAACAUUCAGGUAAGCAAGAUGGCUUGGACUGGAAAGGCUAACUUAUUUGCUCUCUCUUCCCAGCUUGUGUUCUUGGCAUUGACCUCAUAUUUGGCAGUAGAGAGUGAACUAAUAAACUUUUACACUGAUGCUUGCUUCUGGGAGUGACAAAAGCUCAUGUUAAUCCCUCUUGUUGGAAAGAGAAAAGGAGCCAAAAAGCCAAAGGCACCCCAUGUUUUCUAAUGGAAGAAACAUGACAUGGGCAGGCAUUAUGCAUUGUGACAGGGUAUGGUCAGCAGGCCUAUUUGCCCUGUGUUGAUGGACUUUUGUUCUUGGAGCAAACCUUUUGGGAAAGAAUUUCCAAAUUCCUGACUUAGACAAUAAAAAUCAAAUGAUGAAUUUUCAUUUGCAUUGGGAAAAUGUUGCUGUUUUUAAUGGUUUCCCUUUGAGUCUGCAAUCGUAUGUUUCUGCUAAUAUCUUUGAUUCAGAUCUCAUGCGGGCUUCUAUAAACUUCGUUGAGAGUUCCAUCUGUCAAGACAUUGUUAAGUCAUCUCAGUCUCUUUAGAAGUAGUCAUUGUUUCCUGGCCUGAAUCUGCAAGGAUCCCCAGUGAUGACAGGAGCUUGGCAUACACUGACCCUUGCAUGGUCUGGCAGGACUACAAUGUAGAGCAAGCUCCAAAGAGGAGGGCUUUGGGUUGGAAUAUCACCAUGAAUGUGUGAGGACAAUAGCCUUUGUGUGCAGCACACAUGAUUCUGUGGAGACAAGGAAGGACAGAAUGGCUCUAAUGUUUCCUACAAACAAACAAAUUUUGCAUGGAAUUAUGGCUGUUUAUGUUGCUCAUACACUGCAGAGCCAUGCAUGAAGAACUAAUAUGCUGGGUAUAGUUUCUACAAUCCCCAAAAAUAUCAGGAGAAUGGCCAAUCAAGGUUCAGAUGUGAACUCUGGGUCCACUGGGAGAAAACAAGCUGGAAGGUAUUUGCAAAAAUGUACUGCUCUGUAGAAUGCAAGGGAUGGAAAGAAGGCCAGAAUGAGGGAAGUCCUGACUGAAUAUGUAUUGUUGACAUAGGCCCAGCCAUGUGGAGUACUUCAGGGCUUUGGAUCCAUGAAAAACUGGCAAAGCCAUUAUGCAUAUGAACCAGGUUCAAGAGGAAUGCCAAAGCUUUUUUCAUACAUUCUUGUAUGAGUGUUAUGGCCUUUGACAAAGAUGUACAAAGACUAGUGACUGCAGCUUCCUCCUCAGAUGAUUACAGCCUGAGACUGCUCACCUAGAACAGCCUCCUUCUAAGGCUACCCUCUUCCCUUGUGCUGUACUUAAUAAAAGUUCCUGAAGGUCUUGGCUGCAGAGGUAGCAAUCUCACUUGGUUCCAACAUCACUGCCAUUGUGUCCAUGUGUCAGUCCUUACUUAAUUCUUCAGCACCCAUAGUCAAUGUUCAGGGCCUAAGUCCCAUAGAUUGUGGAGCAUUAACAGUAAAGAUUUUUAAACACUGGCCUCAGAUAUUCUACCCUGUUCAUAAAAAAAAUGAGCAUUGUUAACUGCUAUGUUUCUACCAUUGUUAUCUUGUUCAUUGUUAUCUUCCUUUGCAUCUCUGGGCUGUGUAGUAUAUGUAUACAGCAUAUGUAUACAGGGAAUGAGAGAAGGAUGUUGCACACACAUGAUGUAUAUGUGUUCAACAUAUUGGCAUAUGACACACUUCGGCAUCUCAUCCCUACUGCACCCUUUGGGGGACCCUGAAUCUGAGCCUGAGAUAGUCACCUUUGUCAAAGACUAAGAACUUUUCUCCAUUCCCCAUUCCUGCCUCCUGUGCUGUUUUUGCCAGAGUCUGUGAUAGCAGAUGUGGUAAGAGUGUGUGAGGUUGCCAAGAUGCUUAACCUAGCCUCUGAGAUUGCUGUGCCUGACACCUAAAGUUCCAUAUUCAGGAAGACUAUCCACGCAUCCAUGAAGGAUGGGCUUCUCAAGGAGGAGGAGGAAGAGGAAUAAUUUGUAUUGGCAAGACUUAGAAGCUAUCAAUGCAUAAAUUAGACCACCAACUUGUAGAAUCAUAGUGAAAGACUCUUGCUUUAGAAUAUUUUCUCUGGGUUUUAUGUUUAAUUUGUUUGCUUAUUCUUAUAAUGCCAAAUUAUUGAGUACCCGUUUUUGGUAAAGAAUGUUUCACAUAAGAUUAGUGUUCACAGGGUAACUGCCUGUAAACUAGAAAUGUUUUUCAUUGACAACUAAAGGCAAAUAACAGAAUUGCAUUCAGGCUUGCUUGGGCUAAAUUGUGUAAAAGACACUUUUCUUAUCUCUAUGAAUGAAUACCUGCUACAAAAGCAUCUUAGAGGUAAGGCCUCAUUUUGUUUUAUCAUUGAGGGGAAAAUGUGGCGACAGAACACAGAGCAGAUGUUCACAUGUAUCUGUAAUCAAGAAGCAGAAAGCAGAUAAUAAACAUUGCUUGGCUAUGAAGUCUUAAGGUCUACCACUAUUGAUGUGCUUCCUGCAGCAAGAUGACACUUUCCCCAAAGUUCUACAACCUUCUAAC